RNAcentral lists this long non-coding RNA (4483 nucleotides) under Podarcis lilfordi (Lilford's wall lizard). The record is from RNAcentral. Lineage: Eukaryota; Metazoa; Chordata; Lepidosauria; Squamata; Lacertidae.
UUUAUUGAACUGUGGACUUCAGAGGGUUGGUGUUGUUUUUUCGAUGGACCAACAUAGCUUCCUAUGCUUUUUAAAUUAGAGGAGUUGCUUCUUCCUGGUGACUUAUAUCUGAUUUUGCAGGCUCUCCUUUAGUGGGAAAUCUACUUUGUGUUUGGUUUAUUAUGCGUGUCUAGCGGGGGUGGGGGGUGGGGAAGCAUAUUUGUGCCUCACUCUUAAGAUGGGGUCUCAGUCAUCCUCCAUCUAGAGCACUGAUCAGGUCCGCACGUGCUUAACUUCAGUAGUAGCUGUACCAUUAGUUGUGUGGAGACCAUUUGCUAGGCCGGACCUUACUAGGUGUCGCAUGUCUUGUUCUCUCUUUUUUAAAAAUUUAUUUGCAGCUUCGAGAGAGGAAAACACUCAUUUCCUACCCACUCCAAGCUCUCCAGACAAGUGUGGCAUGCUUCUAUAAUCAUGCCCUCAGGAUGUUUAAGUGCAAUAUCCGUCAUCCCUGACAGUAGCCGUGCUGACUGAGACUGAUGGGAGGGCACAUCUGGAGGGCACCAUGUUAGCUACCCCAUUUAUAGGUUAUUUUGUAAAAAUGUGUUUAUGUCUAUAUUAUACACACAUCUAAACAUAGAUGUACACUCUAUAAACCAGUGGUUGCCAACAUGGUGCCCUACCAUGUGCGCACACGCACAUCCUGUGUCUUUUCCAAUGUGCAUUGAUGAUGCAAUGCAAGUGCAAUGUUGAGGGGAGAGGCACAGGCUAGCUGGGCUGAUCAGAUGCAGCAGAUUUGAACAUGGCCUAUUGCCAAAACCAUACAGCAGAGUUUUUGCAGAGCUGGCACUGAAGCCUGACAGGAAGGUGCGGCUCCUGACCUGGUAUCUUCUCUUCUGUUACCAGAAGUGUGCUGGACUCAGAGGUGCUCUUUGGGAGCUGAACCCUACUUUCCCAAGAUAGUUUUGGGGACUAAAUCUUUUCAAAGUUUGCUGCAAAACAUUAAAUAACUUUCCCAGUUUACUAGUACUGAGUCCACAAUUUGUUUCUCAAAAGAGCCAAUCAAAAGCUAAUGGAGAGCAUUAUGCCAAUCCUUUAUUUGGAACAGAUGAUGCUCUUAAGAAAAAGCUUAAAGCCCUCUUGGUCUCAGACUGGGAAGUUGACAGGAGAAAAACCAUAGAAUCCUCCCUAUGGUGGCAAAAUCCUUGUCUUGCUUUCCAUUCUGUGCUUUGAACAGUGCACCUGUUUCUUGCUUCGUUCCUCCCUGCACUCCACAGCAUAGACUAGGAAGCACUUCAAACAAGCAAGAAACUGGUGCCUUUGUAAUUGCAUUAUCCCCAAGCCGCUUUCCUGCUUAGAAUUCAGUGGCAUUGGACUUUGGUGUGAGGCGUUAAGUAAUUUAUCUCAGUUUACCUAUACCUAGUCCACAAUGUUGCUUUUUAAAAUAGCUCCCCAUUAAUUUUUUGGGUAUCUGUUUAAGUGACUUUAAAGUUACUGCUGUCCAUUACCUAAGAAUUCAUGUAGUCACGGUAGUCACCUGAACUGAUCUAAUCUGCCUUCUCUCUUUCAUGUUGCUCAUUUUUACUGAUUCCUUUGUUUAUGGUCCCUUUGUGCUUGCUGUGCACUCGGCUUGAUAGUAGUCUUUUUUUGAGGUGGAUUAUGAGGACUUGUAAGAAUGUUGUGGUGAAUAUAGUGGAGCAGGGUGAUGAAGGAGAGCUGUUGUAGAGUCAGAAAACUUUGGUUGCAGGAAAGGAGCAGAGGCUGAGAAGAAUACAUGCAUAUUCCAUGGGCACACGGAGUCAUACUAGUGGAAUUGUUCAGAUGGAUUGUACAGCAAAAUUCAGGCACAGAAAACUUGCUUGGCAGGAGCAGAUUGAGGCCCACUUACUGUAGUUUAGAUUCUACUUCCAUCAAAUGCCCCGGGGAAACUCACAAGCAGGACAUGAAUAUGGCCUUCCUCUAUUAUAUCUCUAGCAUCCUGGUCCUCCAGACUUAAGCACUGAGGCCAAGAGGCUUGCUGAAUGUCAGGUUUGAGCAGGAGCAACAUAAAUAUUUUACUUACUCACUCACUGUAUUAACUGUGUCUAGUCAUAUCUGUUUUUCUACAUUUAAGGAAUGAGCUUUUUGUUCAGAAAAGUUUCAGGCUGUACUCUCUGAAAUGCAGGCAGCAGAAGGCAAGACUAUUCCACUUUUAAUCAUGAGCACUAUUGACAGUUCCUCCUCCUCCCAGAAGCAGUGUGUCUUUGAGGGGUGGGUGAGUUCAGACCUAUUCAAUAUCUCAUUUUAGGAGAAGCAAAUCUCCAGCUUUUUUGAUGGAACUUCUUGAAGCCUGUGAUAUGAUAGGUUUUUCAUUUUUCAAGUAGCAAAAAAGUCUCAUUAGAAGGGACUCUGAUGUAGCAUGGACAUUUCUCCAUGGAAUGUUCUCUGUAUUGGAGAAUGUUGUUUCUCAAAAUACAGUUUCAUAAAAUAAGCAACACAAUGAAUGAUUACAAUGCUAGUUUCAAAGUGUAACUAAGUUUUUGUUUCAGGUGAUUAUCCCUAGGAACAUUGAUUGUGUUAAUGAUUUUUUUUCCUCCUGAUUAAAAUUGUUUAGUUUUACUACUUUUGAAUAUUGGGAAAAUGUGUUUGUAGAAUACAUAAAAUUAAUGUGGCAUACUUUUGUGUACACAUGGCAGAUAUGCUAAAUUAGAUCACAAUUUAAGUCACUGAAACAAAAAUCGCAAAAAUGUUUUGAAUCAAAGUUUAUGAAAGACCAUUGUUAAGGGAUUUCAGUACAUGCUAAAGUAGAAUAUUUCUAGUAAAAUGUUUUUCUAGCUUUGACUUUAGGGUCAUUUUUUCUGACUAUUAGCUCUCUUAGAGACUGUAUUUUGUUCUCAGCUCAGCUUUGACUUGAUCUAGGAGUUUGGACUCCAGGUUGGAUAUGGCUUGCUUGAGUAUGAAUUUAUUUGCACAUGUGGAAUCAUUAAGUUACCUGUGGGGAGUGGCUGUUGUGUUUUAAACAGCAAGCUGCCAUUUUGCCAUUUCACCAGACCUGAGAGGUAUGUAUUAGCAACCAUUCUCACAAGUCAAUUAUCCCCAAUACACAUUGAAAAUUAAAAUGGAUUCUGAAAUUAUGUUUUAUUGCACAGUUGUGGUCAGGCAAGUUUUCUGAGGUUGUCCCCGCAGACCAUGUUAAAAAAUGACUUGUGGCCUAGAUGAUUGCUCUUCCAGUUUGUCCACACUAAGGGGCAGGGGUUGAUGAGGUUUCGGUUUGGCACAGAUGGUCCAUUGUGACAGGAAGAAGGCAGCUUGCAGUGACAUGUAGGUUAAUCACAGGGCUCUUUGAUGCAUGACUGCUAAUUGUAUGGGUACCUUCUGUCCAAGAGAAUUGUAUGUAUACUACAUGUGACAAGCACACGGGUGUCUAUUUGGCCACAUCCACACACAGUGAGAACCUGUUGCCAAUCACUGCAUCCUUUCCACAUGCAUCUGCACAUGGACCUAUGCAUGUUGGUCUCGUGUUACAGGGGACAAGUGGUAUAUGCAAGGUAUUCCUGAAUGGAAGCUAUAUCCAUGAGAGAAAUGACCCUUCAAGCAGUUUCCUUAAUAAGGCAGAGUUUAAACUGUGUAACAGUAUAGUAUUAACAUUGUGUGUGUGUAGUUAGGGGGACAAAUGUAAGCUCCAUCCUCAAGACAUUCCGUUCACUGUGGGUCCAUCAGGUGCUUGGGGCUGCACUGAGCAAUUGGUCUGCUAUAAGAAAUACAUAGCAUGGCAGAUUGGAGGUGCCCCUUUGCCUUUGUGUGGGGCAUUGUGUUGGUGAUGUCGACACUAUUCUGUGUGCCAUUGCAGGGACACAUUUCUUAAGAAUCCAGCUGUAGGCCAGCUAUAGUUUCACAUUCUCCUAGGAACAUGUUGGUGCUGCACUUCAGCUUAAGGCCCUUGGUUGUAAAUUUCUGAUGACUUCUUGCUUUGUGGGGCACUGCCGUUUUGCUUUCUGAGAGAAGCAUAGGAUGAGUUUGAAAUCUCUGGGUGUUCUUGUAGGUUCUCCCCCGCCCCCUUUAACAAAAGUAUGCUGAAGUCAAGCAAGUUUGUUGCACCUGAACUAUUGUAGUUAGCCUUCCUGCAGGUGGACAGAUGGAUGGCAAGUGCAUUGGUAAAAGCCUUCACAAUUUUUACUUAUUAAACCACCUUGACCGUGUGUGCCUCUUUGUAUUGCAAAUGUGAGCUGCAACUAUUUGGGGAUAGGGUGGGAGGGUUGGUUUAUAUAAAAUAUAGAUAAAUAUAUAUAUACAUAUAUAUAUAACAAAUCUGUAUUUCAGUAUGUUUUUAGAAACUUAACUCUUUAACCCAGAAGCAGCGUGUCCACUGCUCCCUUCACUCCUUACCCCCGCCAAGUUUACUGCCCUUGCCAAAAGUUUAGCUAUCUUUGCAUUUUCUUCCAGUUUGGUUAAAUAUCAGCCUGUCAUCUUCUACAAUUUUCAACUUUGUUACAUAUCCAUCAGCUUUGCGAGACUUGGCUUGGCUCUU